CACUUGCAUUUUAUCCUGUUAUUCGAAAAUGUUAAUUUAUUUGAAAAUGGUUGAGCGUGAUUCAUUUUAGUUAAUAUGAAUUUAUAAAUACCCAUUUUUUGUUUAUGUCAAAUCGUUUCUUAACCCAACAACUUCUAAAAUUACGGGAGCAUUAGUGACGUUUUUUACCAGUAAGUGCAGGUCUCCUGUAUUCAUUUAAGUCUUGUACAAGAAAGUUCUGCCUUUUUACAGCAUAUAUGUUCUUAUAUUACACAUAAUUUAGUCAUGUGACCGUGACGUCAUAAACGUUUUUUCAUGGUUUUCGUUGGUUUAAAAUGGAAUUUAGAAUUAUAUUUUAAGAAAUAACUGUAAUAUUUUUUCUGUCUAUUCGAAAUAACAUAAAAAAUGUGGUGCACACGCGUGUUAUUUAGUGUGCAUCACAUUUUUUAUGUUAUUUCGAAUAGACAGAAACAAUAUUAUAGUCAUU
This 466-nucleotide long non-coding RNA is filed under the name Mytilus galloprovincialis (Mediterranean mussel). Lineage: Eukaryota; Metazoa; Mollusca; Bivalvia; Mytilida; Mytilidae. The record is from RNAcentral.